CUUAAGCAUAUCAAUAAGCGGAGGAAAAGAAACCAACAGGGAUUGCCUCAGUAACGGCGAGUGAAGCGGCAAAAGCUCAAAUUUGAAAUCUGGCUCUUUCAGGGUCCGAGUUGUAAUUUGUAGAAGAUGCUUUGGGUGUGGCUCUGGUUUAAGUUCUUUGGAAUAUUACAUCAUAGAGGGUGAGAAUCCCGUAUGUGACCAGUCGCCGCCCCCGUGUAAAGCUCUUUCAACGAGUCGAGUUGUUUGGGAAUGCAGCUCAAAAUGGGAGGUAUAUUUCUUCUAAAGCUAAAUAUUGGCCAGAGACCGAUAGCGCACAAGUAGAGUGAUCGAAAGAUGAAAAGCACUUUGGAAAGAGAGUUAAACAGUACGUGAAAUUGUUGAAAGGGAAGCGCUUGCAACCAGACUUGCACGCAGUUGAUCAUCCGGUGUUCUCACCGGGGCACUCUGCUGCGUUCAGGCCAGCAUCGGUUUUGGUGGUUGGAUAAAGGCCUUGGGAAUGUAGCUUCUUUCGGGGAGUGUUAUAGCCCUCGGUGCAAUGCAGCCUACCGGGACCGAGGACCGCGCUUCGGCUAGGAUGCUGGCGUAAUGGUUGUAAGCGGCCCGUCUUGAAACACGGACCAAGGAGUCUAACAUCUAUGCGAGUGUUUGGGUGUCAAACCCAUACGCGUAAUGAAAGUGAACGGAGGUGAGAACCCUUAAGGGUGCAUCAUCGACCGGUCCUGAUGUCUUCGGAUGGAUCUGAGUAAGAGCAUAGCUGUUGGGACCCGAAAGAUGGUGAACUAUGCGUGAAUAGGGUGAAGCCAGAGGAAACUCUGGUGGAGGCUCGCAGCGGUUCUGACGUGCAAAUCGAUCGUCAAAUUUGCGCAUAGGGGCGAAAGACUAUCGA
Molecule: ribosomal RNA, 886 nt
Filed under: Tricellula simplex
Lineage: Eukaryota; Fungi; Ascomycota; Leotiomycetes; Helotiales; Calloriaceae
Description: Tricellula sp. DV-2018b LSU rRNA
Rfam family: Eukaryotic large subunit ribosomal RNA
Source: RNAcentral